UACGUAGGGGCCUAGCGUUGUCCGGAAUUAUUGGGCGUAAAGAGCUCGUAGGCGGUUCGGCAAGUCGGAUGUGAAAUCUCCACGCUUAACGUGGAGGGGCCAUUCGAAACUGCUGUGACUCGAGUCCGGUAGGGGAGUGUGGAAUUCCCGGUGUAGCGGUGAAAUGCGCAGAUAUCGGGAGGAACACCAGUAGCGAAGGCGGCACUCUGGGCGGGUACUGACGCUGAGGAGCGAAAGCGUGGGGAGCGAACAGG
RNAcentral lists this ribosomal RNA (254 nucleotides) under uncultured bacterium. RNAcentral's name for it is "partial 16S ribosomal RNA". It matches the Rfam family "Bacterial small subunit ribosomal RNA", at positions 524 to 776 of the family's 1533-position model. The record is from RNAcentral.